This 1372-nucleotide ribosomal RNA is filed under the name uncultured bacterium. Its description in RNAcentral is "bacterial SSU rRNA". It matches the Rfam family "Bacterial small subunit ribosomal RNA", at positions 28 to 1381 of the family's 1533-position model. The record is from RNAcentral.
GAUGAACGUUUGCGGCGUGCCUAAUACAUGCAAGUCGAGCGAACAGACGAGGAGCUUGCUCCUUUGACGUUAGCGGCGGACGGGUGAGUAACACGUGGGUAACCUACCUAUAAGACUGGGAUAACUUCGGGAAACCGGAGCUAAUACCGGAUAAUAUUUUGAACCGCAUGGUUCGAUAGUGAAAGAUGGCUUUGCUAUCACUUAUAGAUGGACCUGCGCCGUAUUAGCUAGUUGGUAAGGUAACGGCUUACCAAGGCAACGAUACGUAGCCGACCUGAGAGGGUGAUUGGCCACACUGGAACUGAGACACGGUCCAGACUCCUACGGGAGGCAGCAGUAGGGAAUCUUCCGCAAUGGGCGAAAGCCUGACGGAGCAACGCCGCGAGAGUGAUGAAGGUCUUCGGAUCGUAAAACUCUGUUAUUAGGGAAGAACAAACGUGUAAGUAACUGUGCACGUCUUGACGGUACCUAAUCAGAAAGCCACGGCUAACUACGUGCCAGCAGCCGCGGUGAUACGUAGGUGGCAAGCGUUAUCCGGAAUUAUUGGGCGUAAAGCGCGCGUAGGCGGUUUUUUAAGUCUGAUGUGAAAGCCCACGGCUCAACCGUGGAGGGUCAUUGGAAACUGGAAAACUUGAGUGCAGAAGAGGAAAGUGGAAUUCCAUGUGUAGCGGUGAAAUGCGCAGAGAUAUGGAGGAACACCAGUGGCGAAGGCGACUUUCUGGUCUGUAACUGACGCUGAUGUGCGAAAGCGUGGGGAUCAAACAGGAUUAGAUACCCUGGUAGUCCACGCCGUAAACGAUGAGUGCUAAGUGUUAGGGGGUUUCCGCCCCUUAGUGCUGCAGCUAACGCAUUAAGCACUCCGCCUGGGGAGUACGACCGCAAGGUUGAAACUCAAAGGAAUUGACGGGGACCCGCACAAGCGGUGGAGCAUGUGGUUUAAUUCGAAGCAACGCGAAGAACCUUACCAAAUCUUGACAUCCUUUGACCCUUCUAGAGAUAGAAGUUUCCCCUUCGGGGGACAAAGUGACAGGUGGUGCAUGGUUGUCGUCAGCUCGUGUCGUGAGAUGUUGGGUUAAGUCCCGCAACGAGCGCAACCCUUAAGCUUAGUUGCCAUCAUUAAGUUGGGCACUCUAAGUUGACUGCCGGUGACAAACCGGAGGAAGGUGGGGAUGACGUCAAAUCAUCAUGCCCCUUAUGAUUUGGGCUACACACGUGCUACAAUGGACAAUACAAAGGGCAGCGAAACCGCGAGGUCAAGCAAAUCCCAUAAAGUUGUUCUCAGUUCGGAUUGUAGUCUGCAACUCGACUACAUGAAGCUGGAAUCGCUAGUAAUCGUAGAUCAGCAUGCUACGGUGAAUACGUUCCCGGGUCU